Molecule: ribosomal RNA, 253 nt
Filed under: uncultured Lachnospiraceae bacterium
Lineage: Bacteria; Bacillati; Bacillota; Clostridia; Lachnospirales; Lachnospiraceae
Description: partial 16S ribosomal RNA
Rfam family: Bacterial small subunit ribosomal RNA
Source: RNAcentral
UACGUAGGGGGCAAGCGUUAUCCGGAUUUACUGGGUGUAAAGGGAGCGUAGGCGGCUUAGUAAGUCAGAAGUGAAAGCCCGCAGCUCAACUGCGGGACUGCUUUUGAAACUGUGUGACUGGAGUGCAGGAGAGGUAAGCGGAAUUCCUGGUGUAGCGGUGAAAUGCGUAGAUAUCAGGAGGAACACCAGUGGCGAAGGCGGCUUACUGGACUGUAACUGACGUUGAGGCUCGAAAGCGUGGGGAGCAAACAGG